RNAcentral lists this transfer RNA (72 nucleotides) under Bos taurus (domestic cattle). It matches the Rfam family "tRNA". Rfam says of the family: Transfer RNA (tRNA) molecules are approximately 80 nucleotides in length. Their secondary structure includes four short double-helical elements and three loops (D, anti-codon, and T loops). Further hydrogen bonds mediate the characteristic L-shaped molecular structure. tRNAs have two regions of fundamental functional importance: the anti-codon, which is responsible for specific mRNA codon recognition, and the 3' end, to which the tRNAs corresponding amino acid is attached (by aminoacyl-tRNA synthetases). tRNAs cope with the degeneracy of the genetic code in two manners: having more than one tRNA (with a specific anti-codon) for a particular amino acid; and 'wobble' base-pairing, i.e. permitting non-standard base-pairing at the 3rd anti-codon position. Lineage: Eukaryota; Metazoa; Chordata; Mammalia; Artiodactyla; Bovidae. RNAcentral also lists the same sequence under 1 other name. The record is from Rfam by way of RNAcentral.
UCCGUGGUGGCUCAGAGAUUAAAGCGUCUGCCUGCAAUGCGGGAGACCUGGGUUCGAUCCCUGGGUAGGGAA